GACUACCAGGGUAUCUAAUCCCAUUCGCUACCCACGCUUUCGUGCUUGAGCGUCAGAUGUGUGCCAGUAUACUGCCUUCGCAUUUGGUAUUCCCCAUGAUAUCAACGGAUUUCACCCCUACACCAUGAGUUCUGUAUACCUCUCACACUCUCUAGUCAUGCCGUUUCGCUCGCUGUUCCCAAGUUAAGCUCGGGGAUUUAACAAACGACUAACAUAACCGCCUACGCACCCUUUACGCCCAGUGAUUCCGGAUAACGCUUGAAGCUCUCGUAUUACCGCUCCUGCUGGCACGAGAUUGGGAGCUCCUUAUUCUUAGGGUACCGUCAAUAAUUUCUUCCCCUAUAAAAGACCUUUACAUGCCGAAGCACUUCAUCAGUCACGCGGCGUCGCUCCAUCAGACUUUCGUCCAUUGUGGAAGGUUCCUCACUGCAGCCCCCCGUAGG
RNAcentral lists this ribosomal RNA (443 nucleotides) under uncultured bacterium. RNAcentral's name for it is "partial 16S ribosomal RNA". The record is from RNAcentral.